Balaenoptera acutorostrata (minke whale) is the source of this 6496-nucleotide RNA transcript. It is a transcript of the gene named myosin IIIA, with no coding region annotated. The record is from RefSeq and is a predicted model, not a curated record. The transcript has 36 exons. NCBI's taxonomy places the organism in Eukaryota, Metazoa, Chordata, Mammalia, Artiodactyla, Balaenopteridae.
GUCUGGGCCUCGGCGGCGGGGAGCCGCGGGCCUGGCGGCGUCGCUUCCCCGGCCACUGGGGGCGGGAACCCCGCGUCCACCCCGGGGAACCGGACCGGGAACGGGAGGGGGGCUCGUGGGGACCGCGCGCCUCGUCCCGACCGAGUCUCGGGAACCUGUGGCCCGCGCCGCGCCGGCUCAACCCGAGGGAACGCCUGUUCAGGGCUGACUUCUCUGGCAGCAGGCCCAGGAUCACAGCUGCAGUCUGGAUACUUACUCUGUGUCAUGAUAUCCGAACAUUAUUAUGCAUUCUUUUCAAGCUUUGCUAAAGUGAUUUAAACUUUUAAGAUGCUUCCAUUAAUUGGAAAAACAAUCAUCUUUGAUAACUUUCCCGAUCCUUCUGAUACAUGGGAAAUCACUGAAACAAUCGGCAAAGGAACUUACGGAAAGGUUUUUAAAGUGUUGAAUAAGAAAAAUGGCCAAAAAGCAGCAGUCAAAAUUCUGGAUCCGAUUCACGAUAUUGAUGAAGAGAUUGAAGCAGAGUACAACAUCCUAAAAGCACUUUCUGACCACCCUAAUGUGGUCAGAUUCUAUGGCAUGUACUUUAAGAAGGAUAAAAUAAAUGGAGAUAAGCUGUGGCUGGUUCUUGAGCUGUGCAACGGAGGAUCAGUGACAGAUCUUGUGAAAGGAUUUCUGAAGAAGGGCAAAAGAAUGAGUGAGCCCAUAAUUGCCUACAUUUUACGUGAAGCGCUGUUGGGACUUCAGCAUUUGCAUAACAACAAAACUAUCCACCGUGAUAUAAAAGGAAACAACAUCCUAUUAACCAUCGAAGGCGGAGUUAAACUCGUAGAUUUUGGCGUGUCUGCACAGCUCACCAGCACCUGGCACCGUCGGAAUACAUCCGUAGGAACGCCCUUUUGGAUGGCUCCUGAGGUGAUUGCAUGUGAACAGCAGUUGGAUACAACUUACGAUGCCAGAUGUGACACGUGGUCCCUGGGGAUCACGGCCAUCGAGCUUGGGGAUGGAGAUCCUCCACUGGCAGACCUCCAUCCCAUGAGAGCGCUCUUCAAAAUACCAAGGAACCCACCCCCAAAACUGAGGCAGCCUGAGAUAUGGUCAGCAGAAUUCAAUGACUUCAUCAGCAAGUGCUUGACUAAAGAUUAUGAAAAGCGGCCAACAGUGUCAGAUCUUUUACAGCAUAAAUUCAUUACUCAAGUUGAAGGCAAAGAUGCGAUGUUGCAAAAACAACUCAUGGAAUUCAUUGGUAUUUACCAGUGCACGGGAGGCUCAGAAAAGGCCAGGCAUGAACGUCUUUACACCAAGAAAAGUAACUUCAGCAGAUCUUUAAUUUCCAACCUCAAGGAUGUAGAUGAUUUAGCAACCCUAGAAGUUUUGGAUGAGAAUACAGUCUCAGAGCAACUUGAGAAGUGUUACUCCAGAGAUCAGAUUUACUUCUAUGUGGGAGACAUACUCAUUGCUCUUAACCCUUUUCAGAGUCUGGGUCUUUAUUCCACAGAGCAUUCCAAACUGUACAUUGGAGCAAAGAGAACUGCCAAUCCUCCUCACAUUUUUGCCAUGGCUGACUUAGGAUACCAGUCUAUGGUGACAUAUAAUUCAGAUCAGUGCAUUGUUAUUUCCGGGGAAAGUGGUGCUGGAAAGACGGAAAGUGCUCAUCUCCUAGUUCAGCAGCUGACAGUACUUGGAAAGGCUAAUAACAAAACCCUGCAAGAGAAGAUUUUACAAGUGAAUAAUUUGGUGGAAGCCUUUGGCAAUGCCUGCACUAUUAUAAAUGACAAUUCCAGCCGAUUUGGAAAAUACUUAGAAAUGAAAUUUACCCCUUCUGGGACUGUCGUGGGAGCACAGAUUUCUGAAUACCUUCUGGAGAAAUCCCGAGUUAUCCACCAAGCCAUUGGAGAAAAAAAUUUUCAUAUUUUUUACUACAUCUAUGCUGGUUUAGCUGAAAAGAAGAAACUAGCCCAUUACAAAUUGCCGGAAAAUAAGCCUCCCAGAUACCUGCAAAAUGACCACAUCAGAACAGUACAGGACGUGUUGAAUAAUAGUUUCUAUAAAUCCCAAUAUGAAUUAAUUGAGCAGUGUUUCAAAGUCAUCGGUUUUACAAUGGAGCAACUUGGAAGUGUAUACAGUAUACUGGCUGCAAUCCUGAACGUUGGAAACAUUGACUUUUCUUCUGUGGCAACCGAGCACCAGAUUGACAAGAGCCACAUUUCUAAUCAUGCAGCUCUGGAGAACUCUGCUUCUUUGCUUUGCAUUCAAGCAGAUGAGCUACAAGAAGCUCUCACCUCCCACUGUGUGGUCACUAGAGGAGAAACCAUCAUACGACCCAAUACUGUAGAGAAAGCUACUGACGUCAGGGAUGCGACGGCGAAAACUUUAUAUGGACGCCUGUUUAGUUGGAUAGUCAAUUGCAUUAACAGCUUAUUGAAGCACAACGCAUCACCCAGUGGGAAUGAUGAUGAGCUAAGCAUUGGCAUUCUGGAUAUAUUUGGCUUUGAAAAUUUCAAAAGAAAUUCCUUUGAGCAGCUGUGCAUUAACAUUGCAAAUGAACAAAUUCAGUUUUAUUUCAAUCAACAUGUGUUCGCCUGGGAACAGAAUGAAUACCUAAAUGAAGAUGUGGAUGCUAGAGUUAUUGAAUAUGAAGAUAACCGGCCUCUCCUAGAUAUGUUUCUGCAGAAGCCAAUGGGUUUACUGUCCCUCCUCGAUGAAGAAAGUAGAUUUCCCAAGGCCACCGACCAAACUCUUGUAGAAAAAUUUGAAGGUAAUCUGAAAUCACAGUACUUCUGGAGGCCUAAAAGAAUGGAACUUAGUUUCGGAAUUCACCAUUAUGCAGGAAAGGUCAUCUAUAAUGCAAGUGGGUUCUUAGCUAAAAAUAGAGACACUCUUCCAACUGAUAUUGUGCUACUUCUGAGAUCAUCAGAAAACAGUGUAAUUCGGCAGCUAGUCAGCCAGCCUCUAACAAAAACAGGUAAUCUGCCAUAUUCUAAAACUAAAAACAUAAACUAUCAAAUGAGGACUUCAGAAAGAUCAAUCAACCUGACAAAGGGGGAAACUGGAGAAGCCACCCGUCACGCCAGAGAGACAACCAACAUGAAAACACAAACAGUUGCAUCGUAUUUCAGAUAUUCUCUGAUGGAUUUGUUAUCUAAAAUGGUGGUCGGCCAACCUCACUUUGUCCGCUGCAUCAAACCAAACAAUGAACGUCAGGCAAGAAAAUACGACAAAGAGAAAGUCCUGCUCCAGCUUCGCUACACAGGCAUUCUGGAAACAGCAAGAAUUCGAAGGCUGGGAUACUCACAUCGGAUACUUUUUGCCAACUUUAUAAAGCGGUACCACGUUCUCUGUUACAAGUGGUGUGAAGAACCUCCACUGAGCCCUGACACCUGUGCCACCAUUUUGGAAAAAGCUGGUCUGGAUAACUGGGCCCUUGGAAAAACGAAAGUGUUCCUUAAGUAUUAUCAUGUGGAACAGUUAAAUUUAAUGCGAAAGGAAGCCAUCGACAAGCUUAUUUUGAUUCAAGCCUGUGUCAGAGGAUUCUUGGGUUCAAGAAGAUACCAAAAAAUACAGAAGAAAAGGAAAGAGAGCGCUAUAAUAAUACAGUCAGCUGCAAGAGGACAUCUAGCCAGGAAACAAAGGAAAGAAAUUGUUAACACGAAAAACACAGCAGCAAAAACCAUUCAGACUCAAGAUCAGGAAUUUGACUACAAGAAAAACUUUGAAAAUAAAAGGGAAUCUUUUGUGAAGAAACAGACAGAGAAUGCAGUGUCUACUAAUGAAACAGUCAUUCCAGCUCCAAAUAAUAAGGGAAGUACAUCUGUAGUGAAGACUUCUACUUUCAGAGCUGAGGGGGAAUCCACGAAUGCUAUGGAAAGUAACAACAGAGGAUAUCAGACCCCGAAAAAAAUGAACAACGUGUAUGAGGAAGAGGCUAAGCAAGAAUUGUAUCUGGUGGGGGACGCUUGGGCAGAAGUAAACACCAAUAAGAAGUAUAUGAAAGACUUGGAAGAAAAUAGUAAGAUAAGGAAAAUGGAAAAGGAGGACACUGUGGUCCAGAAUUAUUAUCAGUGGUACACAGAGGAAAGGAAUUUCGAAGACUCAAAAGCAGCAUAUCUAGAAAGGAAGGCCAUAUCAGAAAGGCCAAGCUACCCAGGACUUUGGUUAGCGGAGGAGACCUCAGCUCCUAAGCAGCCUUCUUUUAAAAAAACUUUAGAACCUAGUCUUAGCCAGAGGUCGGUUUGCCAAGAUGCAAAUAGCAAGGAAAAAGAAAAGAAGACGUCUGUGGUCACCCAGAAUGCCCCAGUGUGCAGUCAUCAGAGGAACCCUGUGAGGCAUGGGACGGUCCAAGAGAGGCAAAUCGAACUGGCAAUGCAAGCCCAGGAAAAAGAAGACAAAGCAGCGGUGUUCAUUCAGAGCAAAUACCGGGGCUACAAGAAGGGGCAGCAGUUAAGGAAGGACAGGAUGUCGUCUUUUAAAAAUCAAAAAGCGGUUGCAACACCGACAGAAGUAGCAAGAAAUACUCACACUUUGUAUUCCCAUCCCGCAAAAUUUGAGCAAUCCUGUAACAUCAGGAUGAAGAGUGAUAAGGACUCAAAAGCAAUUUCAGAAAAAGAAGCAUGUGAUUUGGCAAUUUUUUCAAAACAGAUAUCAAAGCUAUCUGAAGAAUAUUUCAUUCUGCAGAAAAAACUGAAUGAAGUGAUUUUGUCACAGCAACUGAAGCCUCUUUAUCUGGGUGUCUAUCCUCAUAAGCCAAUUACUAGACGAGUUUCUUCUCAGCAGUGCAUCUCAGGUAUCUCCAAAGGAGAGGAGCCAAAAAUAUUGAGACCCCCAAGGCGGCCCCGGAAACCCAAAACACUAAAUAACCCUGAAGACUCCACAUACUAUUCUCUCCUACAUUGGCCUGGAACCAAACCUGCAAUAUCUCCGAGAAGUCAAUCCAAGAAGAAAAACGAAGAUCAAGGAAAGAUAGUCAGGGAAAAUUAUUAGAUUUGGAAGAUUUCUAUUAUAAGGAAAUUUUGCCCAGUCAUCCUGGACCAGAGGAACACAACCUUAGUUUAAGAGAACAAAGACAACAGCAAGAACUCCAGAAUCAAUGUUUUAAAGCUGAUGAAAGCAGAAAAGUUCAGCAACUCCAGCCUUGCUGACUCCGAAGCGAAACGUGCAGGAUUUGGUGUGGAUUUAAACAAAGGACGGGUCUCUCCGGCUCGUAUCAGCGCUGCUGGAGCAGGAGCCCUGAAGCUGCUAUGCCAGCGGCGCAGACGGCCACCGCACGAAGCCCUGACCCCCCUGGAGUUGUCACCUGGAUCCACUGGAGCACUGGAGCCGGUAUCGCCGGAAAGAGGGGUGGAACGCAGGCCAGGGUUCGUGCCAACCGCGCGGCCACAACUUGACGCAGGCUUCUCGGCACGGCAGGCUCUGCGCCAGGCCUAAGGCCGGACCCGUCCAGCGCCCUUCCCCGCUCCCACUCCUGGGCUCAGGUCCGGAGGCCACGGUGCAGAUCCUACGGAUCCUCCAGGCUCGGGCACGUGCCCCGUGGCCCAUGGUCCCCGGGACCCAUGACGCCCUUCCUAAGCGAGGGUCGAGGGAUGGUAGCCAAGACUGAGGAUCCGUGGGUCUCUGCUUUAGCAGCAGCUUCGGUAACUUGGUUCGGAGAGCAGAGAAAGAAGGUCCUGUGAACACAGUGGAAAUGAGAAGCGCUUGCCCAAGGAGAGCAGCACGCCGCCGAGGAAUGCGCCGCGGGAGGCCGGACACAGCACUUUCCCAGCCAGGCUCAUCCUCACCCUCUCUCCGCGCACCCAUGAGCUGCAAGGCAAACUUGACACUGAUCUUAACUGCCAAGGGACAGCAACGCGAACUCAACGGGCCCCCAAUCCUCAAGGCGCCCUCCCUUUAACAGCUUGUAGAGAAAGGAAAGUGUAAGAGAGGAGAGAUUAUGACUUUCUCAGGAAAGGAGAAACCCCUUACCACCAAGCCUCAGAAAUAGCGAAACUCCCGUUUCCCCCCACCCCACCCUAUCGUGAAGAUUCCCUUGGGGGAUCAGGUGGUCAUUGAUUUGAGGCCCUCUAAAACGAGGGCCCAGCAGGCCAUGCCUUCUUUCCGCCUUUGGACAGCUCAGAUUGCUUACUGGAAACUCGGUGCACGCCUCUCACGCACACACCGAUUCCUGUGACACGUAAGCAGCGGGCCCUUCCGCGCCUCCGCAGGCCAAGGUCACCAAAUGACCUGAUCCCAUCCCCCAUCAGCCGUCAACCCUGCCGGCUCUAGCUCUCUUCCUAGUCCCCUUCCAAGAAGUGUCCGUUCAUUUCUCUGCCCAGGCUGAGGUCCUUGGUGAUAGAUUCCAGCAUGGAUUUUAAUUGCCUCAAUCAGCAGUUUUCCCCCCCAGCCGUCAGUCGGAACCUGGACGGUGGGUUCUGCGACCGCGCGCUCCGAAGCGCAGGAAUGGUGCGACCCCGGGGCUACGCAGCUCCCUAGGCAGGCAUGAGGCUCCACUAAGGAGCUGAAUUGA